CCAUGGCUCAGGAUGAACGCUGGCGGCGUGCCUAAUACAUGCAAGUCGAGCGAAUGAUGAGGAGCUUGCUCCUCUGAUUUAGCGGCGGACGGGUGAGUAACACGUGGGUAAUCUGCCUGUAAGACGGGGAUAACUCCGGGAAACCGGGGCUAAUACCGGAUAAUAAGAGAAGAAGCAUUUCUUCUUUUUGAAAGUUGGUUUCGGCUGACACUUACAGAUGAGCCCGCGGCGCAUUAGCUAGUUGGUGAGGUAACGGCUCACCAAGGCGACGAUGCGUAGCCGACCUGAGAGGGUGAUCGGCCACACUGGGACUGAGACACGGCCCAGACUCCUACGGGAGGCAGCAGUAGGGAAUCUUCGGCAAUGGGCGAAAGCCUGACCGAGCAACGCCGCGUGAGCGAUGAAGGCCUUCGGGUCGUAAAGCUCUGUUGUUAGAGAAGAACAAGUACGAGAGUAACUGCUCGUACCUUGACGGUACCUAACC
RNAcentral lists this ribosomal RNA (484 nucleotides) under Fictibacillus barbaricus. RNAcentral's name for it is "bacterial SSU rRNA". It matches the Rfam family "Bacterial small subunit ribosomal RNA", at positions 17 to 484 of the family's 1533-position model. The record is from RNAcentral. Lineage: Bacteria; Bacillati; Bacillota; Bacilli; Caryophanales; Fictibacillaceae.